UGAUCUUCAAUGAUUUUGCUGAUAUUGUUUCAAAUUCUGAUGAAAUAAAAAGAGAGACUGAUGUUCUCGCUUUAUUUGAAAAGAUGGAAAGUAUUGGAUGUGAACCAAGCUUGAUUUCAUUCAACAUACUAAUAAAAACAUGUGCC
RNAcentral lists this non-coding RNA (146 nucleotides) under Thalassiosira punctigera. Lineage: Eukaryota; Bacillariophyta; Thalassiosirophyceae; Thalassiosirales; Thalassiosiraceae. The record is from RNAcentral.